UCCUACGGGUGGCUGCAGUGGGGAAUCUUGCGCAAUGGGCGAAAGCCUGACGCAGCGACGCCGCGUGGGGGAAGAAGGCCUUCGGGUUGUAAACCUCUUUCAGGUGGGACGAAGCCACUCGGGUGAACAGCCCAGAGGGUGACGGUACCACCAGAAGAAGCCCCGGCUAACUACGUGCCAGCAGCCGCGGUAAUACGUAGGGGGCAAGCGUUGUCCGGAUUUAUUGGGCGUAAAGAGCGUGUAGGCGGCCAGGUAGGUCGGUUGUGAAAACUGGAGGCUCAACCUUCAGACGUCGACCGAAACCAUCUGGCUAGAGUCCGGAAGAGGAGAAUGGAAUUCCUGGUGUAGCGGUGAAAUGCGCAGAUAUCAGGAAGAACACCCGUGGCGAAAGCGGUUCUCUGGGACGGUACUGACGCUGAGACGCGAAAGCGUGGGGAGCGAACAGGAUUAGAUACCCUGGUAGUCCC
This 467-nucleotide ribosomal RNA is filed under the name uncultured Gaiellaceae bacterium. RNAcentral describes it as "bacterial SSU rRNA". It matches the Rfam family "Bacterial small subunit ribosomal RNA", at positions 337 to 797 of the family's 1533-position model. Lineage: Bacteria; Bacillati; Actinomycetota; Thermoleophilia; Gaiellales; Gaiellaceae. The record is from RNAcentral.